RNAcentral lists this ribosomal RNA (800 nucleotides) under uncultured Bacteroidota bacterium. Its description in RNAcentral is "bacterial SSU rRNA". It matches the Rfam family "Bacterial small subunit ribosomal RNA", at positions 93 to 895 of the family's 1533-position model. The record is from RNAcentral. Lineage: Bacteria; Pseudomonadati; Bacteroidota.
UAGUGGCGCACGGGUGCGUAACGCGUAUGCAACCUACCUUCAUCAGGGGGAUAACUACCCGAAAGGGUGGCUAACACCGCAUAAUACUACUGAAUGGCAUCAUUUGGUAUUUAAAUCUGAGGAGGAUGAAGAUGGGCAUGCGUCUGAUUAGCUAGUUGGUGUGGUAACGGCGCACCAAGGCGACGAUCAGUAGGGGAACUGAGAGGUUGGUCCCCCACACUGGCACUGAGAUACGGGCCAGACUCCUACGGGAGGCAGCAGUAGGGAAUAUUGGUCAAUGGUGGGAACACUGAACCAGCCAUUCCGCGUGCAGGAAGAAGGGUCUCUGACUUGUAAACUGCUUUAGCAAGGGAAGAAAAAGCUCAUGCGUGAGAAAUUGACGGUACCUUGAGAAUAAGCACCGGCUAACUACGUGCCAGCAGCCGCGGUAAUACGUAGGGUGCAAGCGUUGUCCGGAUUUAUUGGGUUUAAAGGGUGCGUAGGCGGCUCACUAAGUCAGUGUUAAAAUUUUGCGGCUCAACCGUAAGUCUGGCAUUGAUACUGGUAAGCUUGAGUAUAUGUGAGGUAGGCGGAAUUGAUAGUGUAGCGGUGAAAUGCAUAGAUAUUAUCAAGAACUCCGAUAGCGAAGGCAGCUUACUGAUGUAUAACUGACGCUGAGGCACGAAAGUGUGGGGAUCAAACAGGAUUAGAUACCCUGGUAGUCCACACUGUAAACGAUGAAGACUCGAUGUUGGAUAGUUAUAUUCAGCGUCUUAGCGAAAGCGUUAAGUCUUCCACCUGGGGAGUACGCCGGCAACGGU